Molecule: transfer RNA, 73 nt
Filed under: Sphenostylis angustifolia
Lineage: Eukaryota; Viridiplantae; Streptophyta; Magnoliopsida; Fabales; Fabaceae
Description: tRNA-Glu
Source: RNAcentral
AUCCUUUCCAACAAACCAAUCAUUCCCGUAAAGAAUUUUCUCUUUAUUUGAACAUUACUUAUUUUUUUUCUUA